Molecule: long non-coding RNA, 2167 nt
Filed under: Salmo trutta (river trout)
Lineage: Eukaryota; Metazoa; Chordata; Actinopteri; Salmoniformes; Salmonidae
Description: lncRNA (ENSSTUG00000033504.1)
Source: RNAcentral
UUCUCUCCUCCCCCCACAGCGUUCCACAAGGCAGGCUGACAGAGCGAUGCUGUGAAGGUGUUGAAGCAGCUUACCCACAAUGCCGUGGUGGAGAGCAGGUUUAAUGAGGCCGCGUAUUAUUACUGGAUACUAUCUAUGCGGUGUUUGGACAUCACUAGGGGACCUGAUCCCCAUGUGUUACUGCUGCUCCACCAACAACCCCCCUGCUGAACAGGGUAGUGUGUGAAUCAACUGCAAACAGCCCUUGAUCUUCACAGCAUCAUCAUACGGUCCUACCUCUGUCGCAGUUCUACCUGGACGAGGGUAUUGGUGAUGAGGAGGCUGUGUCUGUCAUUGUCCUGGAGGUCCCUCGCAUCGACAGGAAGGCCGCAAUGUUCCACAGUGAGGACUAUGAGCUGCUGGAGCUUCAGCUUAACUGCUAUCUCUACUGCUGACGGCCGAUCGAUGAACCCAAUUGACCUCCGCAAACUGGUUUAGAAUCACUUAUUCCAUCUCCCAGUUUAUUAAUAUAUUUAUUUAUAUAUUUUAUCAUAUUUAUGUUAGAUUGUAUGCUGAUCUGGAAUCAGUUUCAUGGCUUUCAUCGAAAGUCCAGUCUGAUUGUAGACUGUGUGAAAAAGGAGUUGGAGUCAGUUUCACUCUUGCUCUUCUGAGGAAUUGUCCGCCCAUAUGCUCACACCCCUCAUGUACACUACCGUUCAAAAGUUUGUGGUCACUUAGACAUUUCCUUGUUUUUGAAAGAAAAGCUCAAAAAAAUGUCCAUUAAAAUAACAUCAAAUUGAUCAGAAAUACGGCGUAGACAUUGUUAAUUUUGUAAAUGACUAUUGUAGCUGGAAAUGGCUUAUUCUUUAUGGAAUAUCUACAUAGGCGUACAGAGGUCCAUUAUCAGCAACCAUCACUCCUGUGUUCCAAUGGCACGUUGUGUUCGCUAAUCCAAGUUUAUCAUUUUAAAAGGCUAAUUGAUCAUUAGAAAACAAUUUUACAAUUGUGUUAGCACAGCUGAAAACUGUUGUGCUGAUAAAAAGUAGCAAUAAAACUGGCCUUUAGACUAGUUGAGUAUCUGGAGCAUCAGCAUUUGUGGGUUUGAUUAUAGGCUCAAAAUGGCCAGAAACAAAGACCUUUCUUCUGAAACUCGUCAGUCUAUUCUUGUUCUGAGAAAUGAAGGCUAUUCCAUACGAAAAAUUGCCAAGAAACUGAAGAUCUCGUACAACACUGUGUACUACUCUCUUCACCGAACAGCGUAAACUAGCUCUAACUAGAAUAGAAAGAGGAGUGGGAGGCCCCGGUGCACAACUGAGCAAGACGACAAGUACAUUAGAGUGUCUAGUUUGAGAAACAGAUGCCUCACAAGUCCUCAACUGGCAGCUUCAUUAAAUAGUACCCGCAAAACACCAGUCUCAACGUCAACAGUGAAGAGGCGACUGCGAUCCCGGUUAAAUGUUAAAUGUUGAGGGGUGGUAGGUAGCCUAGUGAUUAGAGCGAAAGGUUGCUAGAUCAAAUCCCCGAGCUGACAAAGUAAAAAUGUCAUUCUGUCCCUGAACAAGGCAGUUAACUUAGGCCGUCAUUGUAAAUAAGAAUUUGUUCUAAACUGACUUGCCUAGUUAAAGAAAAAAAAUGUCUACACUAUUUCUGAUCAAUUUGAUGUUAUUUUAAUGGACAAAAAAUGAGCUGCUUUUCUUUCAAAAAAAGUCUAAGUCUAAAAAAAGUCUAAGUGACCCUAAACUUUUGAACGGUAGUGUACGUUAUUUGAGUGACGAGGUCAUGACGAUCAUUAUAGUCUGCAAUAAAAGUGCGUCUUUAGCCGAUCAACCCAAUAGGAUUAACAGGAUCAGAUUACACAGAGCCUAUCACACAGAUUUAUACCAACAGGGAAUGUAGACUGUCCAUGAAAUAACUGUCUGGAACAUGAUAUAUAGAAAAGGGUUUGACACGUCGGUCUGCAUAAGCAGACUGGUACAGUAGCCUCUUGACAUCGAGGAUAAUGUAAAUCUCUGAUACCAUUUUUCCUAGUACACUACUUUUGCCAGAGUCAUAUGUGCUAUUUGAGAAGAAGUCUAUAAAUUGCAUUGGUCUUCGUCAGCCUCCUGUAACACUCUCUCCUUAGCAAACUUGUUUAUGUCACACUUGUGAUGAUGAAAUCAUCAGAGGAUAACCCUUGAGUAUACAGUAU